AUCUGAGAAUCUGAGGUCGGCCAAG
RNAcentral lists this non-coding RNA (25 nucleotides) under Cricetulus griseus (Chinese hamster). Lineage: Eukaryota; Metazoa; Chordata; Mammalia; Rodentia; Cricetidae. The record is from RNAcentral.